GAUGAAGAACGUAGCGAAAUGCGAUACGUAAUGUGAAUUGCAGAAUUCAGUGAAUCAUCGAGUCUUUGAACGCACAUUGCGCCCCCUGGUAUUCCGGGGGGCAUGCCUGUCCGAGCGUCAUUGCUGCCCUCAAGCACGGCUUGUGUGUUGGGCCUCCGUCCUCCUCCCGGGGGACGGGCCCGAAAGGCAGCGGCGGCACCGCGUCCGGUCCUCGAGCGUAUGGGGCUUCGUCACCCGCUCUAGUAGGCCCGGCCGGCGCUUGCCGACACAUCAAUCUUUUUUCCAGGUUGACCUCGGAUCAGGUAGGGAUACCCGCUGAACUUAAGCAUAUCAAUAAGCGGAGGA
This 345-nucleotide unclassified non-coding RNA is filed under the name soil metagenome. RNAcentral describes it as "partial contains 5.8S ribosomal RNA, internal transcribed spacer 2, and large subunit ribosomal RNA". The stretch from base 1 to 120 matches the Rfam family "5.8S ribosomal RNA", at positions 35 to 154 of the family's 154-position model. The record is from RNAcentral.